ACGGGGGAGUGAAGGGCCCGGCCCCGUCCGGAGGCGAUGGUCCGAUCCCGGCUGCUUCUGCGAUCUCUCCGACUAGCAGCGCGACUGAGACGAAGCUGGUUGAGUUGAAGGCCGCGAGUGCGAUCCAAGCACUGGAGUUCCUUGAGAAGGGUCGAAUCGUCAGUGCAAAGGAAGCGAAAGAGCUCGCCUCAGUCGCUGUGGAGGAGGGCGAGGGGGAAGGAUCUUCGCACCCCCCCAUGCAGGGGG
Molecule: non-coding RNA, 246 nt
Filed under: Chromera velia
Lineage: Eukaryota; Chromeraceae
Source: RNAcentral